RNAcentral lists this ribosomal RNA (441 nucleotides) under uncultured bacterium. RNAcentral describes it as "partial 16S ribosomal RNA". It matches the Rfam family "Bacterial small subunit ribosomal RNA", at positions 339 to 795 of the family's 1533-position model. The record is from RNAcentral.
CUACGGGCGGCUGCAGUGAGGAAUAUUGCACAAUGGGGGCAACCCUGAUGCAGCAACGCCGCGUGGAGGAUGACGCAUUUCGGUGUGUAAACUCCUUUUAUCAGAGAAGAACCAUGACGGUAUCUGAUGAAUAAGCUCCGGCUAACUCCGUGCCAGCAGCCGCGGUAAUACGGAGGGGAGCAAGCGUUAUUCGGAAUCACUGGGCGUAAAGGACGCGUAGGCCGGUCUGUAAGUCAGGUGUGAAAUGCAAUGGCUCAACCAUUGAACUGCACUUGAAACUGCGGACCUAGAGUAUGGAAGGGGCAGAUGGAAUUAGUGGUGUAGGGGUAAAAUCCGUAGAUAUCACUAGGAAUACCGAAAGCGAAGGCGAUCUGCUGGGACAUAACUGACGCUGAGGCGUGAAAGCGUGGGGAGCAAACAGGAUUAGAUACCCUAGUAGUC